This 425-nucleotide RNase P RNA is filed under the name Candidatus Kuenenbacteria bacterium. RNAcentral's name for it is "RNase P RNA component class A". It matches the Rfam family "Bacterial RNase P class A". From Rfam's summary of the family: Ribonuclease P (RNase P) is a ubiquitous endoribonuclease, found in archaea, bacteria and eukarya as well as chloroplasts and mitochondria. Its best characterised activity is the generation of mature 5'-ends of tRNAs by cleaving the 5'-leader elements of precursor-tRNAs. Cellular RNase Ps are ribonucleoproteins. Lineage: Bacteria; Candidatus Kueneniibacteriota. The record is from RNAcentral.
CCAAGUAAGCGUGAUAAUUGCUGCGUCAGUUAAGACGUUGAAGGAAAGUCCGGACACCCCUGUUUAAUUUUUUAAGCAGGAAGCGGCAGUCGUGAAAGCGACCGGGUAUAAGCAGUAGGGUAAAAAAUUUACGAUCGUACUUUUUUGCUCAUCAACUGUAAAACCCAGGGAAAGUGCAACAGAAAGUAAACAGCCUAAUCCCGCGUCCGCGGGAUGGCAAUGGUGAAAAUGCGUCCCGAGUUUACCUCGGGGCUCCGACCUAGCGUCGGAGAGGUAAGAGCUCACACUAAUUCCGAGUGAUCGGAUUUUGCGGCAAACCCUGCCUGGUGCAAGAGCAAGAAUGGUUGCUUGCUUAGAUAGAUAAUUAUCGCCCCGCGAUGUUAAAUCGCCGGGUACAGAAUCCGGCUUAUGGCUUGCUUGGGUCA